Molecule: non-coding RNA, 144 nt
Organism: Gossypium hirsutum (cotton)
Lineage: Eukaryota; Viridiplantae; Streptophyta; Magnoliopsida; Malvales; Malvaceae
Source: Rfam
UGUUAAAUUUUUUUUUAUUUCUACAAUUAAAAAUGGGUAUGACUGAUCAAAUAACCAAGCAACUACACGUGGCACGCCAUGUAUACCUCAUUCUAGUGUAAAGGAACCAACUUUUAAUAGUAAAAAUGAAAUAAAUUUUUAACA